Molecule: long non-coding RNA, 199 nt
Organism: Gekko japonicus
Lineage: Eukaryota; Metazoa; Chordata; Lepidosauria; Squamata; Gekkonidae
Exons: 3
Source: RefSeq, a predicted model, not a curated record
AGCCGCUGCCUGUCUUGAUGGCGUCCGACUCCGAUACCGAGGAGCUGUUCUACGACGCGGCCGAGGAUGUCGCCCAGCACGGAGGGACCCCCUCGCCGUCACCUACCAAAGUUGGGCCGCCAAUACCGAAGGAACUGGGCGGUGGUCUGCAGACAGCAGAGAGUGAGGCAGCACAGCUGGAAGUAAAACAGGAUGACCC